GUUAAGGUAGCAUAGCCCGGUCAUGCGACAGGCUUAAAACCUCGGAGCAGGUGUUCAAAUCACCUCCUUAAUA
RNAcentral lists this transfer RNA (73 nucleotides) under Pareas boulengeri. RNAcentral describes it as "tRNA-Leu". It matches the Rfam family "tRNA". From Rfam's summary of the family: Transfer RNA (tRNA) molecules are approximately 80 nucleotides in length. Their secondary structure includes four short double-helical elements and three loops (D, anti-codon, and T loops). Lineage: Eukaryota; Metazoa; Chordata; Lepidosauria; Squamata; Pareidae. The record is from RNAcentral.